This is a long non-coding RNA of Medicago truncatula (barrel medic), 1699 nucleotides long. RefSeq lists it as uncharacterized. The transcript is spliced from 2 exons. NCBI's taxonomy places the organism in Eukaryota, Viridiplantae, Streptophyta, Magnoliopsida, Fabales, Fabaceae. The record is from RefSeq and is a predicted model, not a curated record.
UAUUGCUUUAGCACAACAUGUCUUUUACACACUAUAAAGUGAUCAAAUUAUACACUUUGUCAUAUGAAAAAUGAGAAAAAAAAUGGCUAAAACUCUCAAGUUUGUUUAUGUUAUGAUUUUAUUCACUUCUCUAUUUCUUUUUGCAAAGAACGUCGUUGGGUAUAUUAAUUGCAAAACUGAUGAUGAUUGUCCAAAACUUGAAUCAAGAAUGGUAGUGCUUAAGUGCACUAAUAGCCGAUGUGCAGCUGUGAUCUUACACUAGCAAGAAAUCUAAGCAAUAUAACUCAUAAUUUAAUAUUCCAUAGUUUCCAUUUAGUUAUUGUUCUCAUUCCCACUAAUUGUAUUUUUUAUUUCUUUUUCUUUUCGUAAUGUCAUGGAUCUUGCAUUAAUGGUUUUGCGCUCCAAGACUUUGACAAUGAAAUGAAAUAAGAUAAUAAAAUUGGAUUGACACGGUUUGACUUUUUUUUUUUGUGAUGGUUUGUCUCCUUUUUCGAUGUUCAUGAGGUCUCAGAAUUAAGUUUGUUGAUCCACAAAAUCAAAUUUUCAUGACGAUGCCUCUUCGCUCUUGUGUAGCUUCCACUCCGUAGAUGAUGGAGAUAGGCACAAUCAUCUUUCGAAAAAAACAAGAACAAAAUGAUUCGGGAUUAAGCCAAGGCACAUGAUGUGGAUUUUUUUGGCUACGUGAUCGCCUAUCUCUAAUUGGGAAAAAAAGUAUCCGAAAUUCCAAUUUCAUGAUUUGUCAACUCCACUACAACACUAUUGUAAUAAGUUGCAACGAUGUGACACAUGUCCAGGAGCAUCAACCACUUAUCAUCAAAUGCAAUACCGCUACUAUUUUGAGGAGGAUGCAAAUCAUUCAAGAUAUAGUUAAAAUAAUCAUCACUCCCAUAUAUCUAUGUAUAGGUUACGCUAUUUGCUAAAAUAUUUCUUCAAUUUUCCAUGGGCCCUUUCCACUCUGUUGGUGGUUAUGCAGCCAAGAUGCAAGACACUGUUUUACCAUGCCCUCACUAUUUUUUCCUUAACAGUAUCCAAAAUGGUACUUUCAACAUAGUUGAUGACAGUACACCAUUACUAGUUUUUUAGUCAUAUUUGUGUCCUUUUUGUAAUGUUUUGAGAGUCAAAUGCUUGUAUACAUGGUUAAAUCAGCUCAAGAUUCAUAAAAGAUAAGUUUUGCACAAAUUGGAGAAAAAUCAAGAAUUUAGCUACUGGAUCGUGCCACGAUGGACCUGAAUCGUGGCACGUUUGAAGCGUGGAAUUUACCUGAAGAUAUUGGAAAAAGCGUGGCACGAUGGAUAUGUAACGCGCCACGAUGGUUUAGUAAAUUUGCUGUCACGUCAGAUUAAUGAAGGAAUCAUGCCACGAUGGACGUGAAACGUGGCACGAUGGUGGGCUUUUCUGAAACCGUAAAUUCUUUUUCUAUAAAAUUCAUAUGCGAUCAGAAGCUUUGUGUGCGAUUUUGGAGACCUAAACAGAGCAUAGACAACACCAGGAAGUUGAAGAGCACGCAGUGGAUCUCAGCCAACUCAUAGUUGGUUCUGAUUUAUGUAUGUUCUAUUAUUUCUAUGUAUUCGAUUGUUUAGUUAUGAGUAGCUAAACUCUUAGAUUGAUUAAGCCAUGAGAUGAAUCUUUGUGAUCUGUGAGCAUGUAAUUUGUUAAGAACUCUCUUUGACAUCAAUGAAAACCUAGUCUUUAUUCAGAA